Molecule: transfer RNA, 70 nt
Filed under: Pantodon buchholzi (freshwater butterflyfish)
Lineage: Eukaryota; Metazoa; Chordata; Actinopteri; Osteoglossiformes; Pantodontidae
Description: tRNA-Gln
Rfam family: tRNA
About the family: Transfer RNA (tRNA) molecules are approximately 80 nucleotides in length. Their secondary structure includes four short double-helical elements and three loops (D, anti-codon, and T loops).
Source: RNAcentral
UAGAGAAUGGUGUAUUGGAAGCACUAAGAGUUUUGAUCUCUUGAGGAUGGGUUCAAACCCCUUUUUCUAA